This is a long non-coding RNA of Salarias fasciatus (jewelled blenny), 212 nucleotides long. RefSeq lists it as uncharacterized. Lineage: Eukaryota; Metazoa; Chordata; Actinopteri; Blenniiformes; Blenniidae. The record is from RefSeq and is a predicted model, not a curated record. The transcript has 4 exons.
GCUGCUGCUGCUCUCUGUGCUCAGUAUCCAGUCUCAAACUGCAACCCAGCAACCUGCUAAAUCGGUGAGCUCUGCUCCAUCUCUGCACUGCAGCCAUGGCCACCACAGAAGCAUUGUUUCCUGAUCAAAGUGACUUUGAUUAUGGUAAAAAAUUCACAAAAUGUGUAAAAGGCUCAUCCAACUCCAGCUCAUCUGGGAGCCAAAUCCCAAAG